CUCUCGAUAGCUCAGUUGGUAGAGCAUUAGACUGUAAAUUGAUUUUGCAUUGGAUUGCCAUCUAAUGGUCGGGUGUUCGACUCACCCUCGGGAGA
This 95-nucleotide transfer RNA is filed under the name Candida maltosa Xu316. It matches the Rfam family "tRNA". From Rfam's summary of the family: Transfer RNA (tRNA) molecules are approximately 80 nucleotides in length. Their secondary structure includes four short double-helical elements and three loops (D, anti-codon, and T loops). Further hydrogen bonds mediate the characteristic L-shaped molecular structure. tRNAs have two regions of fundamental functional importance: the anti-codon, which is responsible for specific mRNA codon recognition, and the 3' end, to which the tRNAs corresponding amino acid is attached (by aminoacyl-tRNA synthetases). tRNAs cope with the degeneracy of the genetic code in two manners: having more than one tRNA (with a specific anti-codon) for a particular amino acid; and 'wobble' base-pairing, i.e. permitting non-standard base-pairing at the 3rd anti-codon position. Lineage: Eukaryota; Fungi; Ascomycota; Pichiomycetes; Serinales; Debaryomycetaceae. The record is from Rfam by way of RNAcentral.